This 497-nucleotide ribosomal RNA is filed under the name uncultured bacterium. RNAcentral's name for it is "partial 16S ribosomal RNA". It matches the Rfam family "Bacterial small subunit ribosomal RNA", at positions 28 to 507 of the family's 1533-position model. The record is from RNAcentral.
GAUGAACGCUGGCGGCGUGCCUAAUACAUGCAAGUCGAGCGAACAGACGAGGAGCUUGCUCCUCUGACGUUAGCGGCGGACGGGUGAGUAACACGUGGAUAACCUACCUAUAAGACUGGGAUAACUUCGGGAAGCCGGAGCUAAUACCGGAUAAUAUAUUGAACCGCAUGGUUCAAUAGUGAAAGACGGUUUUGCUGUCACUUAUAGAUGGAUCCGCGCCGCAUUAGCUAGUUGGUAAGGUAACGGCUUACCAAGGCAACGAUGCGUAGCCGACCUGAGAGGGUGAUCGGCCACCAUGGAACUGAGACACGGUCCAGACUCCUACGGGAGGCAGCAGUAGGGAAUCUUCCGCAAUGGGCGAAAGCCUGACGGAGCAACGCCGCGUGAGUGAUGAAGGUCUUCGGAUCGUAAAACUCUGUUAUUAGGGAAGAACAAAUGUGUAAGUAACUAUGCACGUCUUGACGGUACCUAAUCAGAAAGCCACGGCUAACUACGUG